GGAAGUAAAAGUCGUAACAAGGUCUCCGUUGGUGAACCAGCGGAGGGAUCAUUACCGAGUUUUCAACUCCCUAACCCUUAUGUGAACCUACCUAUUGUUGCUUCGGCGGACUCGCCCCAGCCGGACGCGGACUGGACCAGCGGCCGCCGGGGACCCUCAAACUCUUGUAUUAUCAGCAUCUUCUGAAUACGCCGCAAGGCAAAACAAAUAAAUCAAAACUUUCAACAACGGAUCUCUUGGCUCUGGCAUCGAUGAAGAACGCAGCGAAAUGCGAUAAGUAAUGUGAAUUGCAGAAUCCAGUGAAUCAUCGAAUCUUUGAACGCACAUUGCGCCCRCCAGCAUUCUGGCGGGCAUGCCUGUUCGAGCGUCAUUUCAACCCUCGACCUCCCUUUGGGGAAGUCGGCGUUGGGGACCGGCAGCACACCGCCGGCCCUGAAAUGGAGUGGCGGCCCGUCCGCGGCGACCUCUGCGUAGUAAUCCAACUCGCACCGGAACCCCGACGCGGCCACGCCGUAAAACACCCAACUUCUGAACGUUGACCUCGAAUCAGGUAGGACUACCCGCUGAACUUAAGCAUAUCAAUAAGCGGAGGAA
This 594-nucleotide ribosomal RNA is filed under the name Beauveria brongniartii. RNAcentral's name for it is "eukaryotic LSU rRNA". The stretch from base 217 to 370 matches the Rfam family "5.8S ribosomal RNA". The record is from RNAcentral. Lineage: Eukaryota; Fungi; Ascomycota; Sordariomycetes; Hypocreales; Cordycipitaceae.